RNAcentral lists this ribosomal RNA (253 nucleotides) under uncultured bacterium. Its description in RNAcentral is "partial 16S ribosomal RNA". It matches the Rfam family "Bacterial small subunit ribosomal RNA", at positions 524 to 776 of the family's 1533-position model. The record is from RNAcentral.
UACGUAGGGUGCAAGCGUUAAUCGGAAUUACUGGGCGUAAAGCGUGCGCAGGCGGUUGUGCAAGACAGAUGUGAAAUCCCCGGGCUCAACCUGGGAAUUGCAUUUGUGACUGCACGGCUAGAGUGUGUCAGAGGGGGGUAGAAUUCCACGUGUAGCAGUGAAAUGCGUAGAGAUGGGGAGGAAUACCGAUGGCGAAGGCAGCCCCCUGGGAUAACACUGACGCUCAUGCACGAAAGCGUGGGGAGCAAACAGG